GAUUUUGUAGUGAAACUGGUAUAAUGCAGGUUUUUUAACUAGUGAUGAAGGUUCGAGUCCUUCCAAAAUCA
This 71-nucleotide transfer RNA is filed under the name Flavobacterium sp. MC2016-06. RNAcentral describes it as "tRNA-OTHER". It matches the Rfam family "tRNA". From Rfam's summary of the family: Transfer RNA (tRNA) molecules are approximately 80 nucleotides in length. Their secondary structure includes four short double-helical elements and three loops (D, anti-codon, and T loops). The record is from RNAcentral. Lineage: Bacteria; Pseudomonadati; Bacteroidota; Flavobacteriia; Flavobacteriales; Flavobacteriaceae.